AAUUGUAUCGUAUGUUAGUUAAAGGGGUUGGCGAACUACUACGAUCUAUAGAUUUUCCAUCUAUAUCCAAUCCCAACGAGAAUAGAAGCGAGUUGCUUCUGGUCUGUCUUGUAGUCGUAGUCUUUUAGCUUAUGUAGUUGUUGGCCUUCCUACACACAUGCGUUCGUCAGAAUGCCUCAUUGAUUCGGGAUGAAGCUAAGCUGAUACAUACGAUAGGCGAAGGAAAGACCUCCAUUUCAUAGCAUAAAAAUGAGAAAUUAGGACGGAUGUUUAUCAAGUUAAGGUGCAGUUGAAGACCAUGAAAGA
Molecule: long non-coding RNA, 306 nt
Filed under: Capsicum annuum
Lineage: Eukaryota; Viridiplantae; Streptophyta; Magnoliopsida; Solanales; Solanaceae
Description: long non-coding RNA (CANN_LNC001547)
Source: RNAcentral